This 390-nucleotide unclassified non-coding RNA is filed under the name Hevea brasiliensis (rubber tree). The record is from RNAcentral. Lineage: Eukaryota; Viridiplantae; Streptophyta; Magnoliopsida; Malpighiales; Euphorbiaceae.
AGAGAGAGAGAGAGAGAGAAUGUGAGGCAAAAUGAGAGGAAGGAGUGGGGAGGGUGAGGAAAGAUGAGAGGGCAUAUAUGUUGCUUGGUAAACUUUUUUUUUUUUCUUAUAAUCAAAAUAUGAUAGUUUUAUCGUUUUGUCUCAAAUCGAAAGAUUUUAAAUAAAAGGAUAAUGUCAAAGAAUCCUAAAAUUUUGAGAUUUUUUACAACAGAGAAAGCGAUUGAGAUAAAAGAAGAAUAUGAGACAAAAUGAGAGGAAGGAAUGGGGAGGGUGAUGAAAGACGAGAGGGUAUAUAUGUUGUUUAAUAAACUUUUUUUUUCUUUUAAUCAAAACAUGAUAAUUUUAUCGUUUUGUCUCAAAUCGAAAGAUUUUAAAUAAAAGGAUAAUGUC